AGUGAACGCUGGCGGUAGGCCUAACACAUGCAAGUCGAACGGCAGCACAGUAAUAGCUUGCUCUUACGGGUGGCGAGUGGCGGACGGGUGCGGAAUACAUCGGAAUCUACUUUUUCGUGGGGGCUAACGUAGGGAAACUUACGCUAAUACAGCAUACGACCUACGUGUGACAGCAGGCGAUCUUCGGACCUUGCGCGAUUGAAUGAGCCGAUGUCGGAUUAGCUAGUUGGCGGGGUAAAGGCCCACCAAGGCGACGAUCCUUAGCUGGUCUGAGAGGAUGAACAGCCACACUGGAACUGAGACAGGGUCCAGACUCUGACGGGAGGCAGCAGUGCGGAAUAUUGGACGAUGGGGGCAAGGCUGAUCCAGCCAUACCGGGUGGGUGAAGAAGGCCUUCGGGUUGUAAAACCCUUUUGUUGGGAAAGAAAAGCAGCAGUUUAAUACCCCGCUGUUCUGACGGUACCCAAAGAAUAAGCACCGGCUAACUUCGUG
This 492-nucleotide ribosomal RNA is filed under the name uncultured bacterium. Its description in RNAcentral is "partial 16S ribosomal RNA". It matches the Rfam family "Bacterial small subunit ribosomal RNA", at positions 29 to 507 of the family's 1533-position model. The record is from RNAcentral.